GGCAACAACGAGUGUGUCUGCCUUCCACACCCCUCUCCCCAAAACUCCAAGCUUAAUUUGGCCGAUCUGGCCACGUGGGUGUCUGUUUUCUCUCUCAUGGCUCCAUGUGUCUCCUUAAUGCUUCUGUAACUUCGUCGGAGGUGAUACUCUUUCCAGAGACUGGGGGCCUUUCUUCUGGAAACAAUAUGCGAGUAGCUGAGCUUCCCUGUAGGAGCCUCCAGCUAUGUUCUCAGGGACCAUCUGCGGGAGUACAUGGGGAGAAUUGCCGGAGAGAAGAGAGCCUUUAAUGUUCAUACAGCUACAGAGGCAGUGUGUGAUAAU
RNAcentral lists this small nuclear RNA (321 nucleotides) under Propithecus coquereli (Coquerel's sifaka). RNAcentral describes it as "7SK RNA (ENSPCOG00000009190.1)". It matches the Rfam family "7SK RNA". Rfam says of the family: 7SK was discovered as an abundant small nuclear RNA in the mid-70s but a possible function has only recently been suggested. Two independent studies have found that 7SK RNA binds the CDK9/cyclin T complex (known as elongation factor P-TEFb). Lineage: Eukaryota; Metazoa; Chordata; Mammalia; Primates; Indriidae. The record is from RNAcentral.